UGAUGCCUGGCAGUUCCCUACUCUCGCAUGGGGAGACCCCACACUACCAUCGGCGCUACGGCGUUUCACUUCUGAGUUCGGCAUGGGGUCAGGUGGGACCACCGCGCUANNNNNNNNNNNNNNNNNNNNUCAGGUGGGACCACCGCGCUACUGCCGCCAGGCAAAUUCUGUUAUCAGACCGUUUUUACGUUCUGAUGUAAUCUGAAUCAGUGCUGAAAAUCGUCUCUCAUCCGCNNNNNNNNNNNNNNNNNNNNGAAUCAGUGCUGAAAAUCGUCUCUCAUCCGCCAAAACAUCUUCGGCGUUGUAAGGUUAAGCCUCACGGUUCAUUAGUACCGGUUAGCUCAACGCAUCGCUGCGCUUACACACCCGGCCUAUCAACGUCGUCGUCUUCAACGUUCCUUCAGGAGACCUAAAGUCUCAGGGAGAACUCAUCUCGGGGCAAGUUUCGUGCUUAGAUGCUUUCAGCACUUAUCUCUUCCGCAUUUAGCUACCGGGCAGUGCCAUUGGCAUGACAACCCGAACACCAGUGAUGCGUCCACUCCGGUCCUCUCGUACUAGGAGCAGCCCCCCUCAGUUCUCCAGCGCCCACGGCAGAUAGGGACCGAACUGUCUCACGACGUUCUAAACCCAGCUCGCGUACCACUUUAAAUGGCGAACAGCCAUACCCUUGGGACCUACUUCAGCCCCAGGAUGUGAUGAGCCGACAUCGAGGUGCCAAACACCGCCGUCGAUAUGAACUCUUGGGCGGUAUCAGCCUGUUAUCCCCGGAGUACCUUUUAUCCGUUGAGCGAUGGCCCUUCCAUUCAGAACCACCGGAUCACUAUGACCUGCUUUCGCACCUGCUCGCGCCGUCACGCUCGCAGUCAAGCUGGCUUAUGCCAUUGCACUAACCUCCUGAUGUCCGACCAGGAUUAGCCAACCUUCGUGCUCCUCCGUUACUCUUUAGGAGGAGACCGCCCCAGUCAAACUACCCACCAGACACUGUCCGCAACCCGGGUAACGGGUCCACGUUAGAACAUCAAACAUUAAAGGGUGGUAUUUCAAGGUCGGCUCCAUGCAGACUGGCGUCCACACUUCAAAGCCUCCCACCUAUCCUACACAUCAAGGCUCAAUGUUCAGUGUCAAGCUAUAGUAAAGGUUCACGGGGUCUUUCCGUCUUGCCGCGGGUACACUGCAUCUUCACAGCGAGUUCAAUUUCACUGAGUCUCGGGUGGAGACAGCCUGGCCAUCAUUACGCCAUUCGUGCAGGUCGGAACUUACCCGACAAGGAAUUUCGCUACCUUAGGACCGUUAUAGUUACGGCCGCCGUUUACCGGGGCUUCGAUCAGGAGCUUCGCUUGCGCUGACCCCAUCAAUUAACCUUCCGGCACCGGGCAGGCGUCACACCGUAUACGUCCACUUUCGUGUUUGCACAGUGCUGUGUUUUUAAUAAACAGUUGCAGCCAGCUGGUAUCUUCGACUGACUUCAGCUCCAUGAGUAAAUCACUUCACCUACGUGUCAGCGUGCCUUCUCCCGAAGUUACGGCACCAUUUUGCCUAGUUCCUUCACCCGAGUUCUCUCAAGCGCCUUGGUAUUCUCUACCUGACCACCUGUGUCGGUUUGGGGUACGAUUUGAUGUUACCUGAUGCUUAGAGGCUUUUCCUGGAAGCAGGGCAUUUGUUGCUUCAGCACCGUAGUGCCUCGUCGUCACGCCUCAGUGUUAAAGUGAACCGGAUUUACCUGGAACACACACCUACACGCUUAAACCGGGACAACCGUCGCCCGGCCAACAUAGCCUUCUCCGUCCCCCC
This 1791-nucleotide ribosomal RNA is filed under the name Salmonella enterica subsp. enterica serovar Paratyphi A. RNAcentral's name for it is "23S ribosomal RNA". The record is from RNAcentral. Lineage: Bacteria; Pseudomonadati; Pseudomonadota; Gammaproteobacteria; Enterobacterales; Enterobacteriaceae.